Long non-coding RNA from Hydractinia symbiolongicarpus, 860 nucleotides. RefSeq lists it as uncharacterized. The record is from RefSeq and is a predicted model, not a curated record. Lineage: Eukaryota; Metazoa; Cnidaria; Hydrozoa; Anthoathecata; Hydractiniidae. The transcript is spliced from 3 exons.
GCUGUGAACGUAUGUGCUGUGCAUUUUUAUGUAAAAUCUAAACAAAAUAAUGUGGUCGCACGUAGAAAGUUAAGUGUUAUACAAAGUCGGAUAAAACUGUUUGUCCCUACACCGAGUGCUUUCACCCUACGUAGCGCAAGUAUGAAAAAAAAAAGCAAAAAGUCGAGCAUUGAAAAAGGAGUAUUUGUGGGAGCACGAUAUCAAAUUCGCCGUCCUUUUUAACAGCUAACACAAUGAAUGAACAUUGCAACGUCAAAUUUUCAGAAGAAUUCAGGUUAUGUGACGGUCUAAAAACAGACAAACUUGGUCUAAAAUCUUCAGUAGGAUGAGUUAAAAAAUGUUUUACUUUAAAGAAAUUUGCCCUACUUGGGGUAAGAUAACAAAAUAUCUGUUAUUCGGCAGCGUGAAAUAAACAGUAACAUUUCGUGCAAUGCCUACAGGAAACGGACAUGUGCGAAUCAUAACAAAACAGAUUCAGCGGCCUACUGAGAAAGCGAAAGGGAAGCAGAUCUACACGAGAAAGCCCAUAAAAUUUAUUGGGAUGUUACUGGUGUGCCAUAUAUGAUAUUAGGAAGAAGGUAUUUGGAUUGCCACUAUGGGAAAGAUCGACAGAAAUUAAAAAAACAAAAGUUAAAGAAGAAUUUUCAUCAAAAGUCCUUAACUCUCCUCAAAUUUAUUCUAUAAAAAGAGUGGCAGCCGUGGCCAAUUUCAGGUAGGUUGUACUUCUUUUAUUUUACCGUUUUUUAGCUGUAUCUACGUCAUUCUUUAAAUUAUUAUUGCAGUUAAUCCAAUGCUCCUGCAUUUCCUGCAAUAAUAAAACUUAAUAAAGAUUUCAAAAACCGGAAUAACUUGUUCUAAGC